This 375-nucleotide ribosomal RNA is filed under the name uncultured eukaryote. RNAcentral's name for it is "partial 18S ribosomal RNA". It matches the Rfam family "Eukaryotic small subunit ribosomal RNA", at positions 592 to 976 of the family's 1831-position model. The record is from RNAcentral.
CAAUAGCGUAUAUUUAAGUUGUUGCAGUUAAAAAGCUCGUAGUUGGAUUUCGGUUAAGAGCGACCGGUCCGCCGUUUGGUGUGCACUGGUUGGUUUUAACUUCCUGUAGAGGACGUGCUCUGGGUUUAACGACCUGGACUCGGAGUCUACGUGGUUACUUUGAAAAAAUUAGAGUGUUCAAAGCGGGCUUACGCUUGAAUAUUUCAGCAUGGAAUAACACUAUAGGACUCCUGUCCUAUUUCGUUGGUCUCGGGACGGGAGUAAUGAUUAAGAGGAACGGUUGGGGGCAUUCGUAUUUCAUUGUCAGAGGUGAAAUUCUUGGAUUUAUGAAAGACGAACUUCUGCGAAAGCAUUUGCCAAGGAUGUUUUCAUUAA